This 601-nucleotide ribosomal RNA is filed under the name uncultured bacterium. RNAcentral describes it as "bacterial SSU rRNA". It matches the Rfam family "Bacterial small subunit ribosomal RNA", at positions 734 to 1339 of the family's 1533-position model. The record is from RNAcentral.
CCUUAACUGACGCUAAAGCUCGAAAGUGCGGGUAUCGAACAGGAUUAGAUACCCUGGUAGUCCGCACGGUAAACGAUGGAUGCCCGCUGUUGGCGAUAUACUGUCAGCGGCCAAGCGAAAGCGUUAAGCAUCCCACCUGGGGAGUACGCCGGCAACGGUGAAACUCAAAGGAAUUGACGGGGGCCCGCACAAGCGGAGGAACAUGUGGUUUAAUUCGAUGAUACGCGAGGAACCUUACCCGGGCUUGAACUGCAGGCGAACGAUUCAGAGAUGAUGAGGCCCUUCGGGGCGCCUGUGGAGGUGCUGCAUGGUUGUCGUCAGCUCGUGCCGUGAGGUGUCGGCUUAAGUGCCAUAACGAGCGCAACCCCUUUCUCCAGUUGCCAUCAGGUUAAGCUGGGCACUCUGGAGACACUGCCACCGUAAGGUGUGAGGAAGGUGGGGAUGACGUCAAAUCAGCACGGCCCUUACGUCCGGGGCUACACACGUGUUACAAUGGGUGGUACAGAGAGUCGGUCGCUGGCAAUAGCGAUCCAAUCCUAAAAGCCAUCCUCAGUUCGGAUUGGGGUCUGCAACCCGACCCCAUGAAGCUGGAUUCGCUAGU